UCUAUUUUGGCAGAUAAGUGCAAUGAAUUUAGAAUUCAUUUAUGUAAAUAAAUUUUACAGGUAGAA
This 66-nucleotide transfer RNA is filed under the name Nemoura nankinensis. RNAcentral's name for it is "tRNA-Leu". RNAcentral also lists the same sequence under 1 other name. The record is from RNAcentral. Lineage: Eukaryota; Metazoa; Arthropoda; Insecta; Plecoptera; Nemouridae.